GAUGAACGCUGGCGGCGUGCCUAAUACAUGCAAGUCGAGCGAACAGAUGAGGAGCUUGCUCCUCUGACGUUAGCGGCGGACGGGUGAGUAACACGUGGAUAACCUACCUAUAAGACUGGGAUAACUUCGGGAAACCUGAGCUAAUACCGGAUAAUAUAUUGAACCGCAUGGUUCAAUAGUGAACGACGGUUUUGCUGUCACUUAUAGAUGGAUCCGCGCCGCAUUAGCUAGUUGGUAAGGUAACGGCUUACCAAGGCAACGAUGCGUAGCCGACCUGAGAGGGUGGUCGACCAACAUGGAACUUAGACACGGUCCAGGCUCCUACGGGAGGCAGCAGGAGGGAAUCUUCCGCAAUGGGCGAAAGCCUGACGGAGCAACGCCGCGUGAGUGAUGAAGGUCUUCGGAUCGUAAAACUCUGUUAUUAGGGAAGAACAAAUGUGUAAGUAACUAUGCACGUCUUGACGGUACCUAAUCAGAAAGCCACGGCUAACUACGUG
Molecule: ribosomal RNA, 497 nt
Filed under: uncultured bacterium
Lineage: Bacteria
Description: partial 16S ribosomal RNA
Rfam family: Bacterial small subunit ribosomal RNA
Source: RNAcentral